GUCCGUGUAGCGCAGUGCAUGGCGCGUUGGACUUCUAAUCCAAAAGCGGUGGGUUUGAAUCGCCCCAUGGAUC
Non-coding RNA from Trichonephila clavata, 73 nucleotides. The record is from the annotation of a GenBank genome assembly. NCBI's taxonomy places the organism in Eukaryota, Metazoa, Arthropoda, Arachnida, Araneae, Nephilidae.